Molecule: long non-coding RNA, 459 nt
Organism: Callorhinchus milii (elephant shark)
Lineage: Eukaryota; Metazoa; Chordata; Chondrichthyes; Chimaeriformes; Callorhinchidae
Exons: 4
Source: RefSeq, a predicted model, not a curated record
GCACUGCUUGGCUGUGUGAGUAGGCGUGCAGACACUGUGUUUGUCUGUGCGGACGUUGAUGUUUGAACGGCACUUAUUCACUCUCCAGUACAGCACUCCUGGAUGUUAUGUUUCUGUUAUGCUGGCUGGUCAGGUUUCUCAAUGGGCUGAGGACUGGAUUGAGAGAGAGAGAGAGAGAUAGAAAGGAAGAGAAGCCAAGGCAGCAGCAACAGUAACAACAGCAGCAACAGUAACAGUAACAGCAGAAGCCAAGCAAUUGCCAGUCAGGAAGGAAAGGCAACAGCAAAACCUCAGCCUGAAUUUGCAGCACAACAGAUGGACCUGGGAUGAUCAUGUCAAACAGCACUGAAGGUUUGAUAACCUACAGGACUCAGCCUGUCUCUGCUGCUGUGACUGUUACUGCUGUAGCCUGAUUUCCCUUUCUCACUCACUCACUCACUCACUCACACAGCACAGCAC